ACGAUAUACCCUGAGUGGGGGAAGCCCGAGAACUCGGAUUAAUACCGCAUGUGAUCUUCGGAUCAAAGAUGGCUUCGGCUGUCGCUUUGGGAUGGGCUCGCGGCCUAUCAGCUUGUUGGUGAGGUAACGGCUCACCAAGGCGACGACGGGUAGCUGGUCUGAGAGGACGAUCAGCCUCACUGGAACUGAGACACGGUUCAGACACCUACGGGUGGCAGCAGUCGAGAAUCAUUCACAAUGGACGAAAGUCUGAUGGUGCAACGCCGCGUGGAGGAUGAAGGCCCUAGGGUCGUAAACUCCUGUCAUCAGGGAGUAAGUCUUAGUCGUUAAUAGCUUCUAAGAUUGAUAGUACCUGAAGAGGAAGGGACGGCUAACUUCGUGCCAGCAGCCGCGGUAAUACGAAGGUCCCAAGCGUUGUUCGGAAUCACUGGGCGUAAAGAGUAUGUAGGCGGUCUGGAAAGUCAGGUGUGAAAGCCCGGGGCUCAACCUCGGAACUGCACCCGAUACUCCCAGACUAGAGUAAUGGAGGGGUGACUGGAAUUCUCGGUGUAGCAGUGAAAUGCGUAGAUAUCGAGAGGAACACUCGUGGCGAAGGCGAGUCACUGGACAUUUACUGACGCUGAGAUACGAAGGCUAGGGUAGCGAAUGGGAUUAGAUACCCCUGUAGU
This 668-nucleotide ribosomal RNA is filed under the name uncultured cyanobacterium. RNAcentral describes it as "bacterial SSU rRNA". It matches the Rfam family "Bacterial small subunit ribosomal RNA", at positions 121 to 794 of the family's 1533-position model. The record is from RNAcentral. Lineage: Bacteria; Bacillati; Cyanobacteriota.